GGAUUGUGGCUCAAUGGUAGAGUGCUUGCCUAGCAUGUGUGAGGCACUGGGUUCCAUUCUCAGUACCA
This 68-nucleotide transfer RNA is filed under the name Marmota monax (woodchuck). RNAcentral's name for it is "tRNA.Ala". The record is from RNAcentral. Lineage: Eukaryota; Metazoa; Chordata; Mammalia; Rodentia; Sciuridae.